GUGCCAGCCGCCGCGGUAACACCGGCAGCCCAAGUGAUGGCCGAUAUUAUUGGGCCUAAAGCGUCCGUAGCUGGCCGCACAAGUCCGUCGGGAAAUCCACUCGCUUAACGAGUGGGCGUCCGGCGGAAACUGUGCGGCUUGGGACCGGAAGAUCCAAGGGGUACGUCCGGGGUAGGAGUGAAAUCCCGUAAUCCUGGACGGACCACCGAUGGCGAAAGCACCUUGGAAGGACGGAUCCGACAGUGAGGGACGAAAGCUAGGGUCUCGAACCGGAUUAGAAACCCGAGUAGUCC
RNAcentral lists this ribosomal RNA (293 nucleotides) under uncultured bacterium. RNAcentral's name for it is "partial 16S ribosomal RNA". It matches the Rfam family "Archaeal small subunit ribosomal RNA", at positions 455 to 747 of the family's 1478-position model. The record is from RNAcentral.